UUACAUUAUUGGCAUAUAUAA
Non-coding RNA from Caenorhabditis elegans, 21 nucleotides. NCBI's taxonomy places the organism in Eukaryota, Metazoa, Nematoda, Chromadorea, Rhabditida, Rhabditidae. The record is from Ensembl.